RNAcentral lists this long non-coding RNA (31584 nucleotides) under Solanum tuberosum (potato). Its description in RNAcentral is "long non-coding RNA (STUB_LNC003227)". Lineage: Eukaryota; Viridiplantae; Streptophyta; Magnoliopsida; Solanales; Solanaceae. The record is from RNAcentral.
AACAAAAAUAUAACUUUAUAACUUGCGUCUAUGUAACGAAUAUAGUAUAGCUGAGAUUUUAUAAUUUGAAUUUUUCUAUUUUAGAUAUACAAAAUUUUACUCUAAAUUAAAGCAAGAGAACUACAAACAAUUAAUUAAAGGGUCUCGAGUCUCAACUACCUACUUAAACUAGUCAUUCAUACUCAAGCUAUCAAAUGAGUUGACAUUUUACUAUUUUAGUUAUAACUUGUUAUUGGUAUCGACGAACUUCAAAGAAAAGUAUAUUUGCUCCUUUGCUGCAACUUGUAAUUGGUAUUGACAAACUUCAAAUGAAAGUGUCUUUGCUCCUUUGCUGCUUCUACUUCUUUUUCUCCUUCUUGUACACCGGCUUCCAAAAAUGAUUGUCGAACUGUAACAUAUCAACCUCUGUAAUUUUUAUAUUGUUGGCAUAGCAAAUAAUAAAAUUCAAUCACCAUUAAUUGGUUAAUAAAACAAGAAAGUACAAUACGAACGAAUCUUUCUUUAUUGUACUUCCAUCCGCUAAACUUGGUAGAAAUGAUGGCUUGCAAGAGCAAUUUAUAGCAGUAAUUAUCACAAAUAACAUCUAGAAGACCGUAACAACAAAAUAUAAUUGAACAAAAAUGAUUUUUCCUAAAAUGCACUGGAAAACAAUUCAUAUCUAGUUUUAAAGGUAGAACUGUGCAUGUUCAAACUUCAUAUUCAUCUAUGUCUGAAGUUGUAACUUCACCCCAAUUUUUCAACUCUAAUGUGUGAACACACACACAUGUAUGUAUAUGAAUAUAUAUAUAUAUAUGUGUGUGUGUGUGUGUGUGUGUGUGGUGUUGUUGAUUGUAUGUACUAUGUAGGUAUAUAUAUAUGUGUGUGUGUGGUGUUGUUGGGUGUAUGUACUAUGUAGGUAUAUAUAUGUAUGGGUGUGUGUGGUGUUGUUGGUUGUAUGUACUAUGUAGGUAUAUAUAUGUGUGUGUGUGUGGUGUUGUUGGGUGUAUGUACUAUGUAGGUAUAUAUAUGUAUGGGUGUGUGUGGUGUUGUUGGUUGUAUGUACUAUGUAGGUAUAUAUAUGUAUGGGUGUGUGUGGUGUUGUUGGUUGUAAUAUAACAUAAGUAUCUAUUAUGUAAAAGGAUAAAAAAACACAGGUUUAAUACUAAAUAUGCUUCGUAAAGUAUCACAAUGAACAACAUUAGAAUUCAUUUCAUUGAAUGAUCAAAGUUAAAUAUGCCUUUAAACUUUGUGAGAGGAAUUACCGAUAAGAAGCUAAAUUUACAUAGGAAUAUAUAAUCUCGGAAUUCAAGUAUGGAAUUUUUGGCCCAUGAUUUUCUCUUUACUUGUUUUUUCCACAGUUGAACCGAAAAUACACUUGUCCAUAAAUUUUCUUGCAAAUAAAAGUACGUUCUUUUAUUUUAAAAUACUCACAAUUUAUAUGUUCAAACGCCCUAAAUUCCUGAAGUCUUUUGGAAAAACAAUUUUAAAUAUACUAAAAACAGCAUCUUCUAGCGGGAGGAGGGAUCAAUUGAAAAAUCACCAUUACCGCGUUAUAUAAAACUAAAUACUUAAGCAGGAGUAGCUUCCUAGGAAGCUUCAUCGCAACCUUUUUCUUUCCUAUUUAUAUGUCAAAAAAAUCAGUUACCAUCAUCAUAUCUUAUUCUGUCUGAUUCUUUAAGUGUCAGGAUCAUAGUGAUCUUUCCUAGUAUUUUAUAAUAAAUCCAGAAAAAAAAAAAUAGUGUGCACGUACGGCGAUAGUGCUGAUCAAAGGCAAGGAUGAUGGAGGUGGAUCAUGAAGAUAAUGGAUCAGACAUUGAAGCUCAGCGGAGUUCCCCGCAGUUAAUGAAUGGUGAAUUGGGUAAAUCUAGUUUGAUCAUGAGGAAGUCGGCCAUCAUUUUCCAAUCUACUUACAAGUUCAUUGAAGCUGGAGCAAAAAUAGCGUCUCUUUCACGAGUCUCAUCGUCUUCCUCAUCUUCCAGCACAACCUUUUAUACUCCUCUUCCCAGCUUUAAACAUGGAGUAUGUAUAUAUAAUUUAAAAACAUAUAUAUGUAUAUAGUUUAAGUUAUAUUGAUGAUAUUAAUUAUAUAUAUAUGCUCUAUGUCUAAUCAGGAUGCGGAAGGUGGUGGAGGUGAAAUCCAGGUUGUUGAAAUUGUGGCUGAUGAUAAUACUGUACAAUCAAACAAUGAGAUUGAGCUUCAGCCUGAUGAUCAGAGUACUCAUCAGCAAUGCUUAAAAAUUAGUGAAGAGAUUGUGAAGGAGAAAAAGUUGGAUUGGAGUGAUGCUCAUGAUGUUGACAAGGGAAUUCAUGUUGCAGACAAUUCUGGUCGUUACAUGCUGAUCUAUGCCCAGUUCAUGAUCCGACAACUGAUAUGUAAGGAACCAACUAUUUUGCUCCUUGCAAUUGCUGCAAUAUUGUCGUUUAUCUUUGGAAUCAAAGAAGAAGGUGUGCAUAAUGGUUGGUUUGAAGGAGCACUUCUGGUUGUGAUUAUAUUUGUGAUUGUUUCGUUUAAGCUAGCACGUAAUUGGUACAAAAGACACAUUUGGAAUAAGCAAAAUGAGAACAGAGCAAGGAAGGACCAGCCGUUUAUUUCUGAAACGGACUCCAGUUUUUGUGCCGACUUUGACAAGUUGAACAAUUACAUACAUAUUAGUGGGCUGUCCAUUGGCAUUUUGAUCACUGUGGUGCUGUUCAUUCGCUUUAAAUUGGGCUAUAAAGAUGAUGAGAACGGAUAUAGAUUGGAAACCAAGGAAGAACCAACUGAAAUUGCACGGAUAAUGAAUGCCGUGAAGAAGGUUUUGACAGAAUCAAAGGGAGCAGUGAGAGUUAUGAUAACUUCUCUUGGUAUCACACUGGUGGGGAUUACUGAAGGAGUACCAUUUCUUAUUUCAAUUGCAAGGGCAUACUGGUAUCCAAUUUUUGAUGUUAAGAUGGAACCAGUCAACACCAUCUGUAUAGAAAAAAUUAGAUGGUUGAAAGUUACCCAGUUUCUUCUUGACAAAAAAGAUGUUACCAAGAUGUUAGCUGGUGGAAAGAGUUGAAAGUUACCCAGUUUCUUCUUGACAAAAAAGAUGUUACCAAGAUACCGCCACAUGUCUACAGUGUUCUCUCUGAUGGAAUUGGUGUGUCCCCUCUGACUUCUCAAACAGCCUACCACAGAGUAGAAGAAGCAAUACUCUGUUGGGCAGAAAAGAACACGGGUAUGCAGAGAGACACUUUGGAUAAGCAGUUCACCAUAGUGAAGAACAACGAUGAUGAGAUGAAUCCUUUUGAAGGACCUUGUAAAGUAGUCAUAGAGAAAAAUGGAGAUAAUGGGAAAGAGUACUAUUCAUAUUUCAAGGGUCCUACUGAUUCAAUAUUGCCAAUGUGUUCAAGUUACUAUGACUUGACGGGUCAAGUGCAGGAUUUGGAUGACGAAACAAAGAGUGACAUUGUUCAAACUAACAACAACAACAACAUGAACGUAGUUGCAUUUGCCUUCAAACACAGUCAGGACGUUGUUGAACUUGAUGAAAAUGGCCUAACAUUCAUUGGUAUGUUUGUCUUAGAAUAUACUUUCAAUCUAGACAACACGAGGAAAGCAAUUGCGAUUCUGAAAGAAGGCGGAGUGAAGAUGAUAUUUGCCUCAGAAGAAGAUGUUGAAGUGCUUCGUACCAUUGUUGAUGAAACAGGAUUGCUCAACUCACAUGAAGCUCUAGUAGUUAGGGGUGAAGAUGCUACAAAGGAAAAUGUUGAUAAAAUGUGCAUUAUGGGAAAUUCCUCUCCCGCAUGCAUGCUUCUUUUAAUAGAGCAAUUGAAGAAAAGAGGAGAAGUUGUGGCUGUGGUAGGAGAACAAGCAUCUGAAAGUAAUGUGGUUCUUGAAGCAGCUCAUUUUGGCCUGCCUGUGGUGACUAACUGGCCUGAAACUAUAACUUAUGUGAUUAACAGCAUCAAGGGAGGAAGAAUUGUUGUGAGUAUAUGAGGCAGUUCAUCCAAGUUGAGAUAAUCUUUGCAAUCAGUAGCUUAUUAAUAAACUUCAUACUGGUUAUAUUAGACGGAGAUGGUCCGUUAACAGUCAUUCAGUUGGUAUGGGUUAACCUUCUUGUAAAAUUUAUUGGAGGGCCAGCUUUGCUAAUUACUCAGCAGGCCACAAGACAACUAAGGGAUGAGCUUUCUAUCAGACCAAGAAAACUGCCAAUUACCAAGUGCAUGUUGAGAAACAUACUUCUUCAAGUUUCUUAUCAGACUGGUAUUUUUGUAUUCCUUCAACACAGAGGAAGUGCAAUACUGGGGAUCACUCCAAAAGUUAACAGAUCUAUAGUCUUUAACGGGUUCGCUCUGUGCCAGCUUUUUAACAUAUUCAGUGCAAGGGAUUUGGAGCAGAGGAAUUAUUUCAAAGGUCUCGGUCAAAAUUACUUGUUUUGGGCAUUGUCUGGGCUCUAUCUUGUGUUGCAGUUUGGAUUCAUUGAAUUAGAGGCUUUCUUGUUUAGCAACACGGCACGACUGAAUUGGAAGCAAUGGGCUGAAUCCAUUUUAAUUGGAGUUGUUACAUGGUUGCUUGAUGUGAUAGUAAAAUGGGCAUCACAACACAUAAAGAUAGACACAUAUUGUGAUUGUGGAGUUCUUCACCUAGCUAGAAACUGGUUACAGUGUUGGUUUAUGAGGAUCAAUUGCUGUUACUGUGGACCAAGAAGUACACCAAAUCCAACUCUUGCUUCCUUGGAUUCUUCAAGAUACACUAGCGGAAAGGUAUUAUAAAAAUUUGUCCAUACAGCCUAAUUACAGUACAGUUCAAUCAACAGUCUUUCCUAAAAUUUUGGAUUCAAGUUGUAGUUGUUGUUCGUUUGCAGGGCUGGAUAACAAGUAUUACACGUCGUGUUAAACCAACCAAGCAUAGAGCUAAUACUUUGAUGGAUUAAUCAUAUGUUUCAGUAGCUUCAAUUUUUAGUACAUAGUUUCCUCUGUUUUCUAUAGAAGGUUAGAUAUAGUUGGAGCAACACUAAAGUUGUCUCAAUGUGACCGGUAGGUUAUGGGUUAGAGCAGUUAUGAAAUCAGCCUUUGAUGCUUGUAUGAGGGUAGGUUGCCUACAUCACACCCUUCAAGGGUCUCAGGCCUACGUCAAUGAGGGAUGAUUAGUGCACUAGGCUAUCCUUUUUAGUUAAUUUAUGUUAAUUAAUUUCAUCAAGUUUUUCGGUUCUUGUUCUUGUUCCUCUUCACUUUUAACUAAAUUCAAGAAUGUAAACUUAUUAUAUAGUACUACUCCCUCAAUCCCUUUGUAUGUCACAUUUUUAAUUUUUUACUUUGUAUUUGUAUUAAAAAAUGAAGUAACUUUAUCCUUAUUUAAUGUUUUCUUAAAUCAACUCUAUAAUAAAUGAUGAAUACAUUUUCAAGAUUAAUUAACUAUUCCAUCAAGGGUAUAAUAGGAAAAAUAUGAUAAAUUUAUGCAUAAAUUUUAUAAAAUGACAAGUAUUGUGGUCCAGCUAUUUAUAGAAAGGAAUGUCAUAUAAAAAUGGACGGAGGGAGUAAUAUACGUAGAAAGCAAGAAUUUUAUGAAUUUCAAACACAGCGAAGUUUGCUCAAAAUCAUAAAGCAAACUAGUGAGUACACAUUCUACUAAUUAAUUGGCUUGUUCAAGAAGAUAAAUAUUUCCAAUAUCAUAUAGUAUAUGCAAAAAUAUAACUUAAUUACCUCGAUCUUGUUUUUCUCAAACUUGGUGAAAUGUAAUAGACAAAGCUCUUGUUGAGGAGAAACUGACAAGCCGGGAAUGCCAUUGGAAGAGACUUUUCUUCAGCGAAGUCAACUGCCUGUGGUCGUUUCUUUACUAUAUAAAAAAUAAAAAACAAACCUCACAAAUAUCCUAACAUGGAUUUUAUAAGAAUAUUUUUCUUUAAUUUUGGACACAUUUGUCUUUUAUCAAACGUGUCUUCAAUAAAUAUUCAUGUGUGAGUAGGUAAUGUAGAAAUGUUACUUUAUCUAUUUCAAUUUAUGUUACUAAAAACUUUUUAGUUAGUUCUGAAAAUAAUAAUAGUUACUUUUUUUAUAGAUAUUUUGAAAUAAUUUAACUUCUAAAUUUUUUUUUUAAAAAAGAGAGAGAAUAAUUUAUAAUCAUAGAAAUAUGUAUGAUUAACUUUAAAAGUCAUUUGAAAUUCAUUUGUGAGUAGAUAAUCUUGAAAAGGUUACCAUAAGGAAUUUGUUACUCCAUCUAUUACAAUUUAUUAAUGUUACAAUUUUUUUAAGCUAGACCUGAAAAUAAUAAUAGUAUUGAUACAAAAAUUUAAGUUGAAUGAUUUUAUAGAUAUAAAAGCUUAAUUGAGUGGGUUUUUUGAUACAAAAUAAAGUUCAAUGAUUUUGCUAGACAAAUUCUUGAAGUUGAGUGAACUUUUGAGAUAUUAACUCUAGAAAACAUGUGACUACUCGUGUACAUUCAAAAUUAAUGGACAUAAAUAAGAACUAGAGCCAAGUUAAAGGAUACACUUAUAUAUUAUAUCAUUUGAUAAAAGUAAUUUUUAUUUCCGAAGUGAAAAAUAAUAUAUAAUUUUUUUUAUUUUAUUAAUUUAUAAAGUCUUCUCGAAAACAUUUUCUAACAUACCAAAAAGCAGCAUCUUCUAUAACAAAUUUUUUGUGUGUGUGUGGUGAUGGUGAGAUCAAUUUAAAAAUUGUCAAUAUUAACGCGUUAUAAAAAUUAAAGAGUGUAAGGGAAAAUUUGAAUUUGAACAAGAUGGGUGUUCACAUUCCGCAACACAAAGCUGAGGCCGGGAGUGAAUAACUAACCACUUGAGCAUUGGAGUACUGCAUGUCUAUUUGAACGGGUCACGAUUUAAUUCAUUUUCAAUUUCAGUAGUGCUGAUCAAAGCUAGGAUGAUGGAUGAAGAUAAUGGAUCAGACAUUGAAGCUCAGGGGAGUUCCCCGCUGCUAAUGAAUGGUAAUUCUACGUUGAUCAUGAGGAGGUUGGCUCUCAUUCUCCGAUCUACUUACAACUUCCAUUGAAGCUGGAGCAAGAAUACCAUCUCUUUCACGAGUCUCAUCGUCUACCUUAUCCUCCACCACAACCUUUUAUACUCCUCUUCCCUAAGUAUAUAAACAAAUGUCUUUAUCACUACUAUAUAUAUACACACACGUAGUUGUUAAUUAUACAUGCUCUCCGUCUAAUUAGGAUGCAGAAGGUGGUGAAGAUGAAAUCCAGGUUGUUGAAAUUGUGGCUGAUGAUAAUACUGUACAAUCAAACAAUGAUCACGUCGACAUUGAUCAAAGUACUCAUCAGCAAUGCCUACAAAUUAGUGAUUGUUUUGUUUAAGUUUGCACGAAAUAGGUACAAAAGACACCUUUGGAAGAAGCAAAAAGAUAACAAAGAAACGAAGAAUUACCCCCUGUUGAUUUCUGAAACGGACUCCAGCUUUUGUGCCUGUUUUGACAAGUUGAACAAUUAUAUACAUAUUAGUGGGUUGUUGAUUGGCAUUUUGAUCACUGUGGUGCUGUUCAUUCGCUUUAAAAUUGAGCCAUAAAGAUGACGAAAAUGGAUAUAGAUUAGAAACCAAGGAAGAACCAGCUGAAAUUGCACAGAAUAAUGAAUGCCGUGAAAAAGGUUUUAACAGAAUCAAAGGGAACAGUAAGAGUUUUGAUAACUUUACUUGGUGUCACACUGGUAGGGAUGACUGAAGGGGUACCAUUUCUUAUUUCAAUUACAAUGGCAUAUUGGUAUCCGAAUUUUGAUGUUAAAAUGGAAUCAGUCAGCACCCUCUGUAUAGAAAAUGUUGGCUGGUUGAAAGAGCAAAAACUGGAAGUUAGUCAGUUUUUCCUUGACAAAAUAAAUGUUACCAAGAUACCGCCAGAUGUCUGCAGUGUUCUCUCUGAUGGAAUUUGUGUGUCCACUCUGACUUCUCAAACAACUGACCAAAGAAUGGAAGAACCAAUACUCUGUUGGGCAGAGAAGAACAUGGGUAUGCAGAGAGACACUUUAGAUCAGCAGUUCAUAAUAGUGAAGGACAAUGAUAGUGAGAUGAAUCCUUUUGAAGGACCUUGUGGAGUUGUCAUAGAGAAAAAUGGAGAUAACGGGAAGGAGUACUAUUCACACUUCAAAGGACGGGCUGAUUCAAUAUUGUCAAUGUGUUCAAGUUACUAUGACAUGAAGGGAGAAGUGCAGGAUUUGGAUGAUGGAACAAAGAGUGACAUUGCUCAAACUAACAACAAGAACAAGAACGUAGUUGCAUUUGCCUUCAAACACACUCAGGACGUUGGUGAACUUGAUGAAAAUGGCCUAACAUUCAUUGGUAUGUUUGUCUUAGAAGAUAAUUUCAAUCUAGACAACAUGAGGCAAGGAAUUGAGAUUCUGAAAGAAGGUGGAGUGAAGAUGAUAUUUGCCUCGGAAGAAGAUGUUGAAGUGCUUCGUGCCAUUGGUGAUGAAACAGGAUUGCUCAACUCACAUAAUGCUCUAGUAGUUAAGCAUGAAGAUGCUACGAAGGAAAAUGUUGAGAAAAUUUGCAUUACGGGAAAUUCCUCUCCCGCACACAAGCUUCUUUUAAUAGAGCAGUUGAAGAAAAGAGGAGAAGUGGUGGCUGUGGUAGGAGAACAAGCAUUUGGAAGUAAUGUGGUUCUUGAAGCAGCUAAUUUUGGCCUGCCUGUGGUGACUAACUGGCCUGAAACUAUAACUUGUGUGAUUAACAGCAUCAAGGGAGGAAGAAUUGUUUGUGAGUAUAUGAGGCAGUUCAUUCAAGUUGAGAUAAUCUUUGCAAUCAGUAGCAUAUUAAUAAACUUCAUACUGGUUAUACUAGACGGAGAUGGCCCGUUAACAGUCAUUCAGUUGGUAUGGGUUAACCUUCUUGUAAAAUUUAUUGGAGGGCCAGCUUUGCUAAUUACUCAUCAGGCCAUAAGACAACUAAGGGAUGAGCUUUCUAUCAGACCAAGAAAACUACCAAUUACCAAGGGCAUGUUGAGAAACAUAAUUUUUCAAGCUUCUUAUCAGACUGUUAUUUUUGUAUGCCUUCCACACAGAGGAAGUGCAAUACUGGGAAUCACUGCGAAAGUUAACAUAUCUACUGUCUUUAACGGGUUUGCUCUGUGCCAGCUUUUUAACAUAUUCAGUGCAAGAGAUUUGGAGCAGAAGAAUUUUUUCAAAGGUCUUGGUUAAAAUUACUUGUUUUGGGCAUUGUCUUUGCUCUAUCUUGUGUUGCAGUUUGGAUUCAUUGAAUUAGAGGCUUUCUUGUUUAGCAACACGGCACGAUUGAAUUGGAAGCAAUGGGCUGAAUCCAUUUUAAUUGGAGCUGUUACAUGGUUGCUUGAUGUGAUAGUAAAAUGGGCAUCACAAUACAUAAAGAUAGACACAUAUUGUGAUUGUGGAGUUCUUCACCUAGCUAGAAACUGGUUCCAGUAUUGGUUUAUGAGGAUCAAUUGCUGUUACUGUGGACCAAGAAGUACACCAAAUCCAACUCUUGCUUCCUUGGAUUCUUCAAGAUCCACUAGCGGAAACGUAUUAUAAAAAUUUGUCCAUACAGCCUAAUUAUAGUACAGUUCAAACAAAAGUUUUUCCUAAAAUUUUGGAUUCAAGUUGUAGCUGUUGUUCUUUUGCAGGGCUGGCUAACAAAUAUCACACGUCGUGUUAAACCAACCAAGCAUAGAGCUAAUACUUUGAUGGAUUAAUCAUAUGUUUCAGUAGCUUCAAUUUUGAGUACAUAUUUUCCACUGUUUUCUAUUAGAUACACUUGGACCAACAAUAAAGUUGUUUCCACGCGACUGGUAGGUUAUGAGUUAGAGAUGUACUGGAAUCAGCCUCUGAUGCUUGUAUCAGGUAGGAUGCCUACAUCAUACCCUUCAAAGGCAUUGACCCUUCCCGGACCUACGUCAAUGAGGGAUGAUUAGUGCAGUAGGCUGUCCUUUUUAGUUAAUUUAUGUGAAUUAAUUUCAUCAAGUUUUUUGGUUCUUGUUCUUGUUCUUCUUUUUACUUUUAAUUUAAAUUCAAGAAUGCAAACUUAUUACUAUAUAGUACUAAUAUACAUAGAAAGCAAGAGUUUCAUGAAUUUCUAACACACAGAAGUUUGCUCAAAAUCAUAAAGCAAACUAGUGAGUACACAUUCUACUAAUUGGCUCGUACAAGAAGAUAAAUAUUUCCAAUAUCAUAAUUCAUAUAUAUGCAAAAAUAUAACUUAAUUACCUCGAUCUUAUUUUUCUCAAACUUGGUGUAAUGUAAUAGACAAAGCUCUUGUUGAGGAGAAAUUGACAAACCAGCAAUGCCAUUGGAAGAGAGUUUUCUUCAGCAAAGUCAACUGCCAGUGGUCGUUUCUUUACUAUAUAAAAAUAUAAAACAAAAUAUAUGGUCCUCACAAAUAUACCAACAUGGAUUUUAUAAGAAUAUUUUUCUUUAAUUUUGGACACAUUUGUCUUUUAUCAAACGUGUCUUCAAUAAAUAUUCAUGCGUGAGUAGGUAAUGUAGAAGAUGUUACUUUAUCUAUUUCAAUUUAUGUUACAAAAACUUUUUUAGUUAGUUCUGAAAAUAAUAAUAGUACUUUUUUUAUAGAUAUUUUGAAAUAAUUUAACUUUUAAAAUUUUUUUUUAAAAAAGAGAGAGAAUAAUUUAUAAUCAUAGAAAUAUGUAUGAUUAACUUUAAGAUCUUAAGUUUAAAAGUCAUUUGAAAUUCAUUUGUGAGUAGAUAGUCUUGAAAAGGUUACCAUAAGGAAUUUGUUACUCCAUCUAUUACAAUUUAUUGAUGUUACAAAUUUUUUUAGCUAGUCCUGAAAAUAAUUAUAGUAUUCCUCCAUUUCAAUUUAUGUGACACAUUUUGGAUUUCGAGAUUCAAACAAGUCUAUCUUUGAUCGUAAAAUUUUCUUAUAUCUUUUAAAUAUUUCGAAUUGUCAAUUAUUGGACUUAUAGUACUUUUUACGUAACUUAUAAAUAUAUAAAUUUCAUUUUAAAAAAGUGAAGAUUUCAUGAGCAAAUUAUUGGUCAAACUUAAAACUAGUUGACUUUCAAAAAACGAAAUGUGUCACAGAGGGAGUACUUUUUCUAUAGAUAUUUUAAGAUAAUUUAACUUAUAAAAAUUAUGUUCUAAGAAAGUAAAAUAAUAAGUAAUUUAUAAUCAUAGAGAAAUUUGACUGUAAAAUUUUUGAAUUUUUUAAAAUUUGAAAAAUAUCAAAAAAAUAUUUUCACUCCAAAUUACUUAUAAAAAUUCAAAAGCAACUUCAAUUUGUAUUCAUGACCACACACUUUUGAGGAGUGUUUAACCAUGAAAAUAGUGAGUAUUUGAUUAUUAUUAUUUUUAUAUUAAUGUGUUCUUUAACUUGAUCUCAGUUUGCAUCUAUGUUCUCCAACUUCUGGUGUGUAUAAGUAGACACUUAAACUAGUAUAAAGUCAAACAAGUAGACGCAAGUGUCCUACAUGACAUAAUACAUUCAAUUUUAAUUCAAUUUGCUCAUUUAACACUGAGAAAAUUAAGUAAUACAAAUAGUUUAAUGAAAGUUGUAAUAUAUUAUAAGCCUAUACACCAACAAACCUUCCCACAGUAGCCUAUUUGAGGAAAUUUUUUAUGGUGGAGGCAUAUCAUAUUGUCACAUUUGUAUGAGGAAAUUUUUUAAUUGAAAAAUUUGUCUCACUCUAUUAUAACUUUUUUCUCUUCUCACUACUCCACCUUCACCUUCUUCCAUUUGCCCCUCGCGCUAACAUAAAAUACUUUUUUAUUUUUUAAAUGUAAUUUACAUAUAUUUCAUUGAGUAAAUUACAAUAAUUUAAUGACAAAAUCAAGUCACAGUGAAAACUAGUUAAUGUCCUUGAAAUGUAUGACAAAAUCAAGGCACAUAGUCAAAAGUAGUACUACUAUGCUUAAAUUAAUAUUUUGUUCUUUUUUCUCUCUAACAUCACUUAUCCAAUCCCUUUCUCUUAUGUAUUUUGUUUCUCCUUUUUUUCAUAAACUUGAUUUUCAUUUGUUAAAAAUCAGAUAGAGAUAAAUACAUUAAUACUAAUUCAAAUAACUAAUAAACAUGUUUAAAAAAGAAUUAAUCAAAAAGUAUGUUCUUGACCUCGUAUAAAUUUGACUGUAUCAUUUGUAGAGUAAAAUAAUGGAGUGAGACCCACUCCAUUAUGCAAUGAAAUUAUGUGUUAAUAAAUUAAAAUUAUUGGAUGUUAGCUGGAGGUGUAAAUGGGAGAAGGUGAGGGUUGAAGAGUAACAAGAUAAAAUGACAAGUUGUAACUGAGUAAGAGCCUGUUUGGCAUUAUUGCUAAAAGCGACUUAUUUUUAGAAGCGUUUUUUAAAAAUAGCUUUUCAGAAAAAUGUUUUUCAAAAAAAGCAAUCUGUGUUUGAAAAAUUCAUUUAAAAGUGUUUUUGAUAAACAAUUUGUGUUUGAAGAGUAAGAAGAUAAAAUGAAGUAACGGAGUAAGACCCACAAUAUAUAUUUUCUCAAUUAAAGAAAUCGCUCACAGCUGUAACUUUUUUUUUUUUUGAGAAUUUACAGCACUAGACAAAGUGUCUAAUAACUUUAAGAAAGGGGUUAGGCCUUUACCACCAUAAUAUUUUUUUCCUCUAGUUGUGUAUGUCGGAAUUAACAAGCAUUUCACUUACUAGAAAAUUUAGCACAAUCUUCAAUCGUUAGUCACAAAGUAACGUCGACAUAUUCAAGUUAUAUUAUUAUAAUUAAAGUAAUGUUAAUUGUUUCUUGUUCAAAUUCUAACAUGUGAAAUAAAUAGGUUGAUGCCUGUUAUAGUUGUCAUCCUCUGUUUGAAGGACUAGAAUAUUAAUUCAAAAUGACUUAAUUUCUGUAAGAUAAUCUUAAGUAUGACCUUUGUUGUAGAUAGUGCUUGGAAGUUGCCUUUGAUUUUCCCCUCUAUGUAACUUGUAUUAGAGAUUCUAUUUCAAGUAUGACAGCCGUACUUAUCACAAAAAUAAGUGUUUUUUUAUUUUAUACUAAAUCCCCAAAAAAUUAGUGUGCUUGUACUGCGACACUAAGUGUAGAAUAUAGCUAGAAUGAUGAAUGAAGAUAAUGGAUCAGACAUUGAAGCUCAGGGGAGUUCGCCGCUGCUAAUGAAUGGUAAUUCUACGUUGAUCAUGAGGAGGUUGGCGCUCUUUCUCCAAUCUACUUACAAGUUCAUUGAAGCUGGAGCAAGAAUACCAUCUCUUUCUCGAGUCUCAUCCUCCACCACAACCUUUUAUACUCCUCUUCCCAGCUUUAAUCUUAAACAUGGAGUAAGUAUAUAAACAAAUGUCUUUAUGGCUAAUAUAUAUACACACAUAGUUAUUAAUUAUAUAUGCUCUCUGUCUAAUUAGGAUGCGGAAUGUGGUGACGAUGAAAUCCAGGUUGUUGAAAUUGUGGCUGAUGAUAAUACUGUACAAUCAAACAAUGAUCACAUCGACAUUGAUCAAAGUACUCAUCAGCAAUGCCUACAAAUUAGUGAAGAGAUUGUGAAGGAGAAGAAGUUGGAUUGGAGUGAUAUUCAUGAUGUUGACAAGGGAAUUCAUGUUGGAGACAAUUCUGGUCGUCACAUGCUGAUCUUCACAGGGUACAUCAUCCGACAAUUGGCAUGCAAGGAACCGACUAUUUUUCUCCUUGCAAUUGCUGCAAUAUUGUCGUUUGCCUUUGGAAUCAAAGAAGAAGGUGUGCAUAAUGGUUGGUUUGAAGGAGCACUUCUGGUUGUGAUUAUACUUGUGAUUGUUUCGUUUAAGUUUGUACGAAAUUGGUACAAAAGACACCUUUGGAAGAAGCAAAAAGAUAACAAAGAAACGAAGAAUUACCCCCUGUUCAUUUCUGAAACGGACCCCAGCUUUUGUGCCUGUUUUGACAAGUUGAACAAUUAUAUACAUAUUAGUGGGUUGUUGAUUGGCAUUUUGAUCACUGUGGUGCUGUUCAUUCGCUUUAAAUUGGGCCAUAAGGAUGACGAAAAUGGAUAUAGAUUAGAAACCAAGGAAGAACCAGCUGAAAUUGCACAGAAUAAUGAAUGCCGUGAAAAAGGUUUUAACAGAAUCAAAGGGAACAGUAAGAGUUCUGAUAACUUUACUUGGUGUCACACUGGUAGGGAUGACUGAAGGGGUACCAUUUCUUAUUUCAAUUACAAUGGCAUAUUGGUAUCCGAAUUUUGAUGUUAAAAUGGAAUCAGUCAGCACCCUAUGUAUAGAAAAUGUUGGCUGGUUGAAAGAGCAAAAACUGGAAGUUAGUCAGUUUUUUCUUGGCAAAAAAAAUGUUACCAAGAUACCGCCAGAUGUCUGCAGUGUUCUCUCAGAUGGAAUUUGUGUGUCCACUCUGACUUCUCAAACAACCGGCCAAAGAAUGGAAGAACCAAUACUCUGUUGGGCAGAGAAGAACAUGGGUAUGCAGAGAGACACUUUAGAUCAGCAGUUCAUAAUAGUGAAGGACAAUGAUAGUGAGAUGAAUCCUUUUGAAGGACCUUGUGGAGUUGUCAUAGAGAAAAAUGGAGAUAACGGGAAGGAGUACUAUUCACACUUCAAAGGACGGGCUGAUUCAAUAUUGUCAAUGUGUUCAAGUUACUAUGACAUGAAGGGAGAAGUGCAGGAUUUGGAUGACGAAACAAAGAGUGAAUUUGCUCAAGCUAACAACAACAAUGUGAACGUAGUUGCAUUUGCCUGCAAACGUACACAGGUUGUUGAACUUGAUGAAAAUGGCCUAACAUUCAUUGGUAUGUUUGUCUUAGAAGAUAAUUUCAAUCUAGACAACAUGAGGCAAGGAAUUGAGAUUCUGAAAGAAGGUGGAGUGAAGAUGAUAUUUGCCUCGGAAGAAGAUGUUGAAGUGCUUCGUGCCAUUGGUGAUGAAACAGGAUUGCUCAACUCACAUGAUGCUCUAGUAGUUAGGGGUGCAGAUGCUACGAAGGAAAAUGUUGAGAAAAUUUGCAUUAUGGGAAAUUCCUCUCCCACACACAAGCUUCUUUUAAUAGAGGAGUUGAAGAAAAGAGAAGUGGUGGCUGUGGUAGGAGAACAAGCAUCUGAAAGUAAUGUGGUUCUUGAAGCAGCUCAUUUUGGCCUGCCUGUGGUGACUAACUGGCCUGAAACUAUAAAUUAUGUGAUUAACAGCAUCAGGGGAGGAAGAAUUGUUUGUGAGAAUCUGAGGCAAUUCAUCCAAGUUGAGGUAAUCCUGGCAAUCAGUAGCUUAUCAAUAAACUUCAUACUGGUUAUAUUAGACGGAGAUGCCCCGUUAACAUUCAUUCAGUUGGUAUGGGUUAACCUUCUUGUUACAUUUAUUGGAGGGCCAGCUUUGCUAAUUACUCAACAGGCCACAAGAGAACUAAGGGAUAAGCUUUCUAUCAGACCAAGAAAACUGCCAAUUACCAAGGGCAUGUUGAGAAACAUACUUCUUCAAGUUUCUUAUCAGACUGGUAUUUUUGUAUUCCUUCAACACAGAGGAAGUGCAAUACUGGGCAUCACUCCAAAAGUUAACAGAUCUAUAGUCUUUAACGGGUUCGCUCUGUGCCAGCUUUUUAACAUAUUCAGUGCAAGGGGAUUUGGAGCAGAGGAAUUAUUUCAAAGGUCUCGGUCAAAAUUACUUGUUUUGGGCAUUGUCUGGGCUCUAUCUUGUGUUGCAGUUUGGAUUCAUUGAAUUAGAGGCUUUCUUGUUUAGCAACACGGCACGACUGAAUUGGAAGCAAUGGGCUGAAUCCAUUUUAAUUGGAGCUGUCACAUGGUUGCUUGAUGUGAUAGUAAAAUGGGCAUCACAAUACAUAAAGAUGGUCAAAUAUUGUGACCCUGGAGUUCUUCACCUAGGUAGAAACUGGUUACAGGAUUGGUUUGCCAGAGUCAAUUGCUGGGACAGUGGACAAAGUAGCACACCAAAUCCAACUCUUGCUUCUUUGGAUUCUCCAAGAUCCUCUAGUGGAAAGGUACUAUACAAAUUUAUCCAUACUGCCUAAUUACAGAAAAUUCAAAGAGUCUUUUCCUUUUAUUCCUAAAACAAUUUGGAUUCAAGUUGUAGUUGUUCUUUUGCAGGGCUGGAUAACAAAUAUAACACGUCGUGUUAAACCAACCAAGGAUAGAACUAAUACUUUGAUGGAUUAAUCAUAUGUUGCAGUAGCUUUAAUUUUUAGUAUAAAUUUUUCACUGUUUUAUUUAUAGGGAUUAGAUACACCUGCAACAACAGUAAAGUUGUCUCCAUGUGACCUAUAGGUUACGGGUUCGAACCAUACUGGAAUCAGCGGACCUAGUCAAUGCAGGAUGAUUAAGGCACUAGGCUACCCUUUUUAGUCUGUAUGGGCUAGUUAAUUUAUGUUAAUUCAUUUCGUCAAGUUUUUGGUUUCUCGUAUGCAUUGGAUGGAGAUAAAAAAAAAAGGUUUGUUCUUGUUCUCUCGUUCUUCUUCUUUUCACUUUUAACUAAAUUCAAGAAUGCAAACUUACUAUAUAGUACUAAUAUAUACAAAAAGCAAGAUUUUUAUGAAUUUCAAACACAUGGAAAUUUGCUCAAAAUCAUAAAGGAAGCUAGUCAGUACACAUGAUUCUACCAAUUGGCUCGUGCAAGAAGAUAAAUAAUUAAAUAUCAUAUAAUAUGCAAAAAUAUAACUUAAUUACCUCGAUGCAUAUUUUCUUCAACUUGCUGUAAUGUAUUAGACAGAGCUCUUGUUGAGGAGAAACUGACAAUCCAGCAAUGCCUCUUUCUUUGUUGUAUUUUCAUCCGCUAAACUUAGUAGAAAAUGCACGAUGACUCGCAAAAAUAUUUUACAGAAAUAAUUAGUACAAAUAAUUAACAUCUAGAAGGUUGGAACAACAAAAAUGUACUUGGACAUUAAAAAAUAAUAAUUCUAAAAUGCAAUGAAACAAUUAACAUCUAGGUUUGAAGGUAGAAUUGUUCAAACUUCACCCAUAUAUCCCCAAUUUUUAACUCCAAUCACACGUAUGAAUAUGUGCGCGUGUUUUUGUUGUUAGUUGUAUUUACUAAUUACUAUGUAGGGAAAAAUGUUUGAAAUAUAUUCAAACUUUGACCGAAAUUGCUGUAAUAAUAUCGAACUUUGGAAAGGAUCGUUUAUCCCUGCACUAUUUAAUAGUGUAUUUUAAAGGUAUAUAUGUGCUCAUGUGAACAUCAUAAAUAUUGCAUAAUUAUAAAUAGUAACGUGUCCACGUGGGCACAUAUAUACCUUUAAAAUACAAUAUUAAAUAGUGUAGGAGGGUAAAAGGUCCUCCAUAAGGUUUGGUAUCAUAACAACAAUUUCGGCCAAAGUUAAAGUAUUUUUCAGACCCUUUUCCCUACUAGAUAUGUAUAUGAGGGCAAGAUCAAUUGAUAUAUGUAUGUAUACCCUAUUGUUACAUGUAAGUCUACCAUUAUUGAUCGAGUCCACUCAAUGAAAUGAAAAGAAUUUUUAAAUAAUUUUUUAUUUCUACCCUUAAUAUUAAUUAACUGCAUAAAAUAAUAGUAGUCAAAUUUAAUAACGAUCAUAAAAAUAAUAUUAAACUUUGUGAUAAAUUCAUAAAAAUAUUAUUCUAUUUAUAAUAUUAAUGAACUUAAAGAAAAUUUUUAUAAAUAGUUAGGUUAAAAAAUAAAUUAUAUAUAAAAGAGGUAUUACAUAUAUGUGAUAUAACAAGGGUAAAAAGAAUAAUGCAUAGAGUAUAGGGGGAGUUUGAUGAUUGUUUAAAAUUGAGGAAAAGUUUGAUUUUUAAAGCAAAGUUGGAGGGUGAAUAUAUAUAUUUUUUUUCAAAUACUGGUGGACAAAAAUGUGUGUGUGGGGUGAAGUGGUGAUGGUGGGAUCAAAUGAAAAAUUGUGAAUACCGCGUUAUAAAAACGAACCAGCGUUGGGAAAUUGUUUUGGACAAAAUGAGUAUUAACAUUUCGCGACACAAAGCUGAGAAAAACUAAACACUUGAUUAGCAUAAUUACCUAGGAGAAAUUUCUAGGAAGCUGCAUUUCACCACUUGUUUAGAAAGUAGAAAUGAGAAAAUAAGUUCCACAAUGUAGUUUGACGAACUGAGUAAUACAAACCUUCGUCAAAAAAGCACCUAUAAUUUAACAAGCAUUUCACUUGCUAAAAAAAUUAGCAAAGAUUCAAUCGUUAAUCAUAAAGUAGCGUCGACAGAUUCAGAUAGAUUAUAGUAUAAUAAAAACAAUAUUAAUUGUUUCUGGUUCACGUUUUAACAUUUGAAAUUUGUAACUUUCAAAUAAAUUAUAGGUUUGCAUAUUAUACUUUUAACUAUAUAUAUUAUUAUUGUCGUCUUGAAGUUUGAAGGACCGAGAAUAUUAAUUCAAAUUGACUUAAGUCAUUUAUAAGGGAUGCAUGACAUUGUUGGUGAUGUCAUGCCUUAAGAAAAAAACGUUGAUGGAACAGCGCAGGGUGGUGCUAGGAAGCUCCCUUUCCUCCCCUCUCUCUAUAUUUUUACGAUCCUUUUCAAUGAUCAUACUAGCUAAUCACAACAAAGUGCUUUCUUAUUUUAUACUAGCUAGAUCUUAAAAAAGAAUUAGUAGUGUGCACGUACGGCGACAGUACUAGCUAGUAGUGAUCGAAGGUCAGAUAAGUAUAAUAUACAGCUAGCUAGGAUGAUGGAGGUGGAUCAUGAAGAUAAUGGAACAGACAUUGAAGCUCAGCGGAGUUCUCCGUUGUCAAUGAAUGGUACUGAAUUAAGUAAUUCUAGUUUGAUCAUCAUGAGGAGGUUGGCGUUCAUUUUCCUAUCUAUUUACAAGUUCAUUGAAGCUGGAGCAAGCAUAGCAUCAUCUCUUUCACCAGUGUCAUCGUCGUCCUCAACAUCCAACACAACCUUUUAUACUCCUCAUACCAGCUUGAAUCUUGAACAUGGAGUAUGUAUAUCAUCACAACCUUUCAAUUUCAUUUGUUUUAGGAGUAUUGACUCCAUAUUUUACAUUUUUAAGUUAGACUUGAUAAAUUAUAUAAUUUUAUAUUUAUAGUAUUAUUCUUUUUAUCAAACAUGCAUUUUAUGAAAUUAUGUACUUUUUGUUUUUAUGAUUAGUAUAAUUAAAAUAUACUAAAUUGAAAAAUACAAAUCAAUUAGUUUUUAUAAUAUUAGUCAAGAACAUAUGUUUAUUAAUUAAUAUAUUUUCAAAAGACAAUAUAUAUCUUAAAUAUUCAAUUUAAUAUCAUUUAUAAAGGGCAUUAUUAGUCUAAUAUAAAUUUUAAUUUUAAUUUUUAAAAUUCAAUAUAACCUUAUGAUUACACUUGUGCAAUAAAACAUUACACUUGUAAUUAGGGGUGUGCAUUCGGUUUUACAGUUUGGAUUUGUACUAUUUGGUUUGGAUUUUUCGGUUUUUGAUUUUGAAGAAGUGUAACCCAAUCCGAAUCAAAAUAAAUUUGGUUUGGUUUGGUAUUUUUCCUUUUGGUUUGAGUUUUUUCGGUUCGAUUAAUCGGUUAUGUCGAUAAUUAGAAACAUAACAAAGUUAUAUUUGUAAUUUGAAUAUAUAUAGUUUUUUUGGUUUCUUUUUUCUAAAUCUGAAACCAAACCAAAAAAACAAACAAAAUAAAUCAUAGAUUCAAAACCGAAUCAGAAAUCCAAAAAAUCAAUCCAAAUUAGAAUUCGAUUUGAUUUGGUUUGAUUUUUCUGUUUAAUUCAAAAUAGUGCAUACCCCUACUUGUAAUUACACUGUGGCAAACAAACAAAUCAGCGUAAUUACUAGAUUGUGUAAUUUACUAGGCUGGUAAUUACUACAAUAAUAAUUACCCCAAUUCCAAUCACUCAGUGGCUUUCCAAACAUACUAUUACAUAUUUCUUAACAUCUAGUAUUUAGAACAUUAUCUUUUUCCUAUUCCAACUAUAUCAUUGAUUUGUCCCUCUAAGUUUUUAUUGUUACAAGAGUUACAUUUAUGGCAUAGUCUUUAUCCAUAAUAUUAUAAUCGAUUAGAUAAUUAACUGUCACUUGUAAUUUAUAGAUGAAUACAGUCACUUUAUAACUCUUUCGUUUAAAAUUAAGUUAGGAGGUGAAAAUGUUGUGAAAAUAUUUUAAUUACUCUAUAUUUAACUUAUUAGAUAUUUAUAACAUUUUUAAUUAUGAUAGGGGUAAAAUGGUAUUUCAACUUUACUUUUGUGGCUUCGUGUUAAAUAAUAACAAAAGUCUCACAUUGAUGGUUAAUGAGAUUAGUGAUCUCUUUAUAAGCUUGGUCAAUCAUCCUCUCUUUAAUCUAGCUUUUAGGGUGUGAGUAAAGUCCAAGACCUAAUUUUCACACUUCUCACUCUUAUAGUAUGACUAGUAUUUGGGCACGUGCGGUGCGCGUAUAUCCCUUACCAGUGAGCAUAAGUAUUUUUCAAAAUUGCAUCAAUAUGAUAAAUAUAUUCAAAAAUCAAUGACAUCCAAUGUCUAAAAUGUCCAACUUUGAAGAUUCUUAAUUAGUACUAAAUUGAUUUUAAUUUGAAUUUAUGAGUUAAAAUUUGAUAUGAAUUUGUCAAAUUUUAGUAGUUUUUAUAUAGAUAUUAUGUUUUGAUUUAAAAAAUAAUUAAGUUAAUUAAAUCCAUAAAUUAUAGGCUUAAUAUGCUCAUAUCAUCAAUUAACCGUUGUCCUACCUCCAAAAUCAAUAUUACAUUUCUAAACGAAAUUCAUUUGAUGCGACUCAACGCAAUUAUAAUAUUUUUUGUAGUUAGAAAAGGAAUUCAACAUUUCAUUUAUAUUUUGUCGACUGUAUUGUUAACAUUGUAAUUGAGAAACAAAAAGACAUGUAUUGUUUUAUGUUGUCAAAAAAAAGAAGAAACAAAAAGACAUGAUAAAAAAUAAUAUUAUGACAUGUGAGUGAUAAGUAAUAUAAAUUCUGAAGGAGAAAGGGAGGGAUAAACUAUGGCUCAAAUAACUAAAAUAAUCAACGAAAAUUAAAACAAAGAAAGUUAAUAUAAUUUCGUGAGAAAAAUAACCAAAAGAUGAUAUUGUAUUCAUUCCUUUCUUUCUUAACAUGGGUUGUUUAUCCUCCCUCUUCUUUCUUUUUGGAUGAAAGCUCCAUUAAAAAAAUUAAAUUCAGACAAAGAAAGUGAAGUCAAAUAGGCAAUGAAUAUCAAAUCACUCAACAUGCCAUAGCUCAUAAAUACAUUUUUUACUUUUAUUGGGUUAUGACGAUUAAUAUCAAAAUUCAAUACUUAAUUAGCUUUACACACAAAUAAAUCACACGAAUCUGCAUAUGAAAAUUCAAUAAACUUGACCUACUAUUGACAAAAUAAAAAUAAAAAAGAAAAGAAAAACCAAACAAAGAAUAUUGUGCUAACAAAAAAAUUAUGUUAGAAGGAAAUGUCACUUACCCCAUUUGUAUCGACACAACUCAAAGUACAGUUCUAUGCGAUUGACACAGAAGCAUCUCAUCAAUUGAUUUUUUCUGCAACAAAAAAAAUCAUCUCAUACGCUAUUGACACAAAAUUAAAAAUUUUAUUUUAUAUCAGAGAUCAAAAUCUUAAACAUCAAUCAAACAACAUAAACUAUAUGAUAAGUAAGAAGUAAGAAACAAAAUAAAAAAUAACUUAAAAGAACAUACACAUGAAUGGAGCACCGGAAAGGACAAUGUUCCUAUGCUCUCUAUCAAACUCAUAAAACAAAAUGUAACGAACAAGACGAUAUACAUAUGUGAAAUGAAAAGACAAGGAUCAUAGUGGAGAAUGUAAAGAGACAAGAGUUUCUUUAGAAGAUUAUUAAUGAAUAAUUGUCUUUUAAUGUAUCUAUUUUAUGUAAGAAUAUAUAUUUUAAGUACAAUAUAAUAUGUGAUAUGAUUACUAUUUAAUAUUUUAUAACAUUUUUAUUUAAUAUAGGGGCAAAAUGGUAAUCCAACAUUGUAUUUGAUGCUUCCCACUUUUAAUAAUAUAUGAUAUGAUAUGAUAUGAUAAUAAUAUAUAUAUAUAUUUAUUUCAUAUGGAUAAAGCAAUUUCAGAAAUGAAACAAGUAUAUCUGCAUACUAGUCAUAGCUAUGAUGCUAUAAUAUUUUCAAUACAUGAAAUAUAUAUAUAUAUAUAUAUAUAUAUUGAUAAUAAUAAUUUGAGGGAUUAUAUAUGCUUUCUGUCUACUCAGAACUCUGAAGGUGGUGGAGAUGAUAGUACUGUACAAUCAAACAAUGAGAUUGAGUUUCAGCCUCAUGAUCAGAGUACUCAUCAGCAAUGCUUAAAAAUUAGUGAAGAGGUUGUGAAGGAGAAAAAGUUGGAUUGGAGUGAUACUCGUGAUGUUGACAAGGGAAUUCAUGUUGCAGACAAUUCUGGUCGUUACAUGCUGAUCUAUGCCCAGUUCAUGAUCCGACAACUGAUAUGUAAGGAACCAACUAUUUUGCUCCUUGCAAUUGCUGCAAUAUUGUCGUUUAUCUUUGGAAUCAAAGAAGAAGGUGUGCAGAAUGGUUGGUUUGAAGGAGCACUUCUGGUUGUGAUUAUAUUUGUGAUUGUUUCGUUUAAGCUAGCACGUAAUUGGUACAAAAGACACAUUUGGAAUAAGCAAAAUGAGAACAGAGCAAGGAAGGACCAGCCGUUUAUUUCUGAAACGGACUCCAGUUUUUGUGCCGACUUUGACAAGUUGAACAAUUACAUACAUAUUAGUGGGCUGUCCAUUGGCAUUUUGAUCACUGUGGUGCUGUUCAUUCGCUUUAAAUUGGGCUAUAAAGAUGAUGAGAACGGAUAUAGAUUGGAAACCAAGGAAGAACCAACUGAAAUUGCACGGAUAAUGAAUGCCGUGAAGAAGGUUUUGACAGAAUCAAAGGGAGCAGUGAGAGUUAUGAUAACUUCUCUUGGUAUCACACUGGUGGGGAUUACUGAAGGAGUACCAUUUCUUAUUUCAAUUGCAAGGGCAUACUGGUAUCCAAUUUUUGAUGUUAAGAUGGAACCAGUCAACACCAUCUGUAUAGAAAAAAUUAGAUGGUUGAAAGUUACCCAGUUUCUUCUUGACAAAAAAGAUGUUACCAAGAUACCACCACAUGUCUACAGUGUUCUCUCUGAUGGAAUUGGUGUGUCCCCUCUAACUUCUCAAACAGCCUACCACAGAGUAAAAGAAGCAAUACUCUGCUGGGCAGAAAAGAACACGGGUAUGCAGAGAGACACUUUGGAUAAGCAGUUCACCAUAGUGAAGAACAACGAUGAUGAGAUGAAUCCUUUUGAAGGACCUUGUAAAGUAGUCAUAGAGAAAAAUGGAGAUAAUGGGAAAGAGUACUAUUCAUAUUUCAAGGGUCCUACUGAUUCAAUAUUGCCAAUGUGUUCAAGUUACUAUGACUUGACGGGUCAAGUGCAGGAUUUGGAUGACGAAACAAAGAGUGACAUUGUUCAAACUAACAACAAGAACAUGAACGUAGUUGCAUUUGCCUUCAAACACAGUCAGGACGUUGUUGAACUUGAUGAAAAUGGCCUAACAUUCAUUGGUAUGUUUGUCUUAGAAUAUACUUUCAAUCUAGACAACAUGAGGCAAGGAAUUGCGAUUCUGAAAGAAGGCGGAGUGAAGAUGAUAUUUGCCUCAGAAGAAGAUGUUGAAGUGUUUCGUACCAUUGUUGAUGAAACAGGAUUGCUCAACUCACAUGAAGCUCUAGUAGUUAGGGGCGAAGAUGCUACAAAGGAAAAUGUUGAUAAAAUGUGCGUUAUGGGAAAUUCCUCUCCCGCAUGCAUGCUUCUUUUAAUAGAGCAAUUGAAGAAAAGAGGAGAAGUUGUGGCUGUGGUAGGAGAACAAUCAUCUGAAAGUAAUGUGGUUCUUGAAGCAGCUCAUUUUGGCCUGCCUGUGGUGACUAACUGGCCUGAAACUAUAACUUAUGUGAUUAACAGCAUCAAGGGAGGAAGAAUUGUUUGUGAGUAUAUGAGGCAGUUCAUCCAAGUUGAGAUAAUCUUUGCAAUCAGUAGCUUAUUAAUAAACUUCAUACUGGUUAUAUUAGACGGAGAUGGUCCGUUAACAGUCAUUCAGUUGGUAUGGGUUAACCUUCUUGUAAAAUUUAUUGGAGGGCCAGCUUUGCUAAUUACUCAGCAGGCAACAAGACAACUAAGGGAUGAGCUUUCUAUCAGACCAAGAAAACAGCCAAUUACCAAGGGCAUGUUGAGAAACAUACUUCUUCAAGUUUCUUAUCAGACUGGUAUUUUUGUAUUCCUUCAACACAGAGGAAGUGCAAUACUGGGGAUCACUCCAAAAGUUAACAGAUCGAUAGUCUUGAACGGGUUCGCUUUGUGCCAGCUUUUUAACAUAUUCAGUGCAAGGGAUUUGGAGCAGAGGAAUUAUUUCAAAGGUCUCGGUCAAAAUUACUUGUUUUGGGCAUUGUCUGGGCUCUAUCUUGUGUUGCAGUUUGGAUUCAUUGAAUUAGAGGCUUUCUUGUUUAGCAACACGGCACGACUGAAUUGGAAGCAAUGGGUUGAAUCUAUUUUAAUUGGAGCUGUUACAUGGUUGCUUGAUGUGAUAGUAAAAUGGGCAUCACAAUACAUAAAGAUAAGCAAAUAUUGUGACUGUGGAGUUCUUUACCCAGCCAGAAAUUGGUUACAGAAUUGGUUUGCCAGAAUCAACUGUUGUGACAGUGGACCAACAAGUACACCAAAUUCCACCCUUGUUUCCUUGGAUUCUUCAAGAUCCACUAGCGGAAAGGUACUGUAAAAAUUUAUCCAUACUGCCUAAUUACAGUACAGUUCAAACAAAAGUCUUUCCUAAAAUUUUGGAUUCAAGUUGUAGUUGUUGUUCUUUUGCAGGGCUGAAUAACAAAUAAAUAUUACACGUCGUGUUAAACCAACCAAGCAUAGAGCUAAUACUUUGAUGGAUUAAUCAUAUGUUUCAGUAGCUUCAAUUUUAUUUAUCCAUACUGCCUAAUUACAGUACAGUUCAAACAAAAGUCUUUCCUAAAAUUUUGGAUUCAAGUUGUAGUUGUUGUUCUUUUGCAGGGCUGAAUAACAAAUAAAUAUUACACGUCGUGUUAAACCAACCAAGCAUAGAGCUAAUACUUUGAUGGAUUAAUCAUAUGUUGCAGUAGCUUUAAUUUUUAGUACAUAGUUUCCUCUGUUUUCUAUAGAAGGUUAGAUAUAGUUGGAGCAACACUAAAGUUGUCUCGAUGUAACCGGUAGGUUAUGGGUUAGAGAAGUUAUGAAAUCAGCCUUUGAUGCUUGUAUCAGGUAGGCUGCCUACAUCACACCUUUCAAGGGUAUCAAACCUACGUCAAUGAGGGAUGAUUAGUGCACUAGGGUAUCCUUUUUAGUUAAUUUAUUUUAAUUAAUUUCAUCAAGUUUUUCGGUUCUUGUUCUUGCUCUUCUUCACUUUUAAUUAAAUUCAAGAAUGUAAACUUAUUACAUAGUACUACUCCCUCAAUCCCUUUUUAUAUGUCACAUUUUUACUUUGUACUUGCAUUGAGAAAUGAUAUAACUUUACCCUUCUACCCUUAUUUAAUGUUUUCUUAAGUUAACUUUAUAAUAAAUGAUGAAUACAUUUUCAAGAUUAAUUAACUACUGUAACAAGAGUAUAAUAGGCAAAAUAUAGUAAUUUAAGCAUAAAUUUUAUAAAAUGAUAAGUAUUAUGGUCCAGCUAUUUAUAGAAAGGAAUGUCAUAUAUAAAGAGACGAAGGGAGUAAUAUACAUAGAAAGCAAGAAUUUUAUGAAUUUCAAACACAGGGAAGUUUGCUCAAAAUCAUAAAGCAAACUAGUGAGUACACAUUCUACUAAUUAAUUGGCUUGUUCAAGAAGAUAAAUAUUUCCAAUAUCAUAUAGUAUAUGCAAAAAUAUAACUUAAUUACCUGGAUCUAGUUUUUCUCAAACUUGGUGAAAUGUAAUAGACAAAGCUCUUGUUGAGGAGAAACUGACAAGUCGGAAAUGCCAUUGGAAGAGACUUUUCUUCAGCGAAGUCAACUGCCUGUGGCCGUUUCUUUACUAUAUAUAAAAAAUAAAAAACAAACCUCACUAAUAUCCCAACAUGGAUUUUAUAAGAAUAUUUUUCUUUAAUUUUUGACACAUUUGUCUUUUAUCAAACGUGUCUUCAAUAAAUAUUCAUGUGUGAGUAGGUAAUUCGGAAAAUAUUACUUUAUUUAUUUCAAUUUAUGUUACAAAAAAACUUUUUUAGUUAGUUCUGAAAAUAAUGAUUGUACUUUUUUAUAGAUAUUUUGAAAUAAUUUAACUUGUAAAAAUCUUGUUUCAGAGUAUUGCAUAUCUAUUUGGACGGGUCAUGAUCUAAUUUAAUUUCUAUUUUAAUUUAUUUUAAAAUCUUCAAUUUCAAUUCAACUCGCUCAUUUAACAUCUUUACCUAGAAGCCUCAUAGGAAGUUUCAUUUCACCCAUGUUUGGAAAGUAGAAAUGAGAAAAUUAAGUAAUACAAAUAGUUUAAUGAAAGUUGUAAUAUAAUAGAAUUUUUUAUCAAAGUAAGCCAUUAUUUAAAUCAAUUCACUAUAAUAAUAUGUUUUUUUUGAAAUUUUACAAAACUAGAAUAAACAUAUUUGAUAGUAACGUUUUAGGUAUUAUUUUAUUAAAAAAAAAUCUAUGGCAAAAAGACAAAUUAUCUGACAGAUAAACAAACAUAAAAUGUUACUGUCAAAUACGUUUUAUUAAUUCGUUACUCACGAAUAUGUUUUAAGGCAAAAACGUUACUGACAGUAACGACUCUUUAAUAACACAAGAAUAGUUUAAGUCUCAAAAGCCAACUUGCUUUACAAAUAGAGUAAUUAGUAGCAAAAAAGAACUGAAUAAUAACACAAGAAUAACUUACUAUUUUUACAUGUAAAUUGCAGAAAGAAACGGAAAAAGAAUGAGAAAAAAGCGAAAAGACUAUAUGGGCAAAUACUUACUUGAAGUCAUUUAGACCUACAGGUUUUCAAAGGCAAGCUAAGGCUGAUGAUGGAAAAUAUAGAACUUGGUCAUGUUAAUCCUUAAUUUUGACUAGAUAAAAAUUAAAAAUCUAAUACGAAAGGAAGUCUUGGAAAGAGGAAUAAGUUCUUGCUAAAUACAAGAGAUAAUUUAAUAGUAAUAAGGUGUAUGGUGGCAGUAACCAAUGGAGUAAAAAUUGUCAAUACAGUCGGUAACCUUUUAACCUUAUAAGGUGUGCAUGAUUGGAUUCUAAAGAGUUGGUAACGUUUUAGCCUUAAAACGUGUGUACGAGUAACAAAUUAAUAUAACGUAUUUGACAGUAACGUUUUAUGCUUGGUUACUAUGUCAGACAAUUGUAUUUUUGCCAUUAAUAUUUUUUUAAUAAAAUAAUACCUAAAACGUUACUGCCAAAUACGUUUAUUUUGUAAAAUUUCAAAAAAAUAUCUUGUUUUGAUAAAUUAAUUUAAAUAAUGGCUUACUUUGAUAAAAAAUUCUAAUAAGCUUAUACACCAACAAGCCUUCCCACAGUAGCCUAUUUGAGGAAACAUUUUAUGGUGGAGGCAUAUCACAUUGUGACAUUUGUACGAGGAAGUUUUUUAAUUGAAAAAUGUGUCUCACUCUAUUACAACUUUUUUUCUCUUCUCACCUCUCCACCUUCAAUUUCUUCCAUUUUGCCCUCCCUCUAACAUAAAAUACUUUUUUUAAAAAAAUAAAUUAUUAACAUAUAUUUCAUUGAGUAAAUUACAAUAAUAUAAUGACAAAUCAAGUCACAGUGAAAACUGGUACUAAUGUCUUGAAAUGUAUGAAAAAUCAAGGCACAUAGUAAAAAAGUAGUACUACUAUGCUUAAAUUAAUAUUUUGUUCUUUUCUUCUUUUUUCUCUCUAACAUCACUUAUCCAAUCCCACUCUCUUGUGUAUUUUGUUUCUCUUUCUUUUUUAGACUCAAUUUUCAUUUGUCAAAAACCAAAUAGAGAUAAAUUGAUUAAUACUAGGCAAUUCAGAUUUAAAUUCAAACAACUAAUAAAAUGUCUAAAAAAGAAUUAAUCAAAACAUACGCUCUUGACCUCAUAUAAAUUUGACUAUAUCAUUUGUAGAGUAAAUAUAAUUGGACACUCCAUUAUGCAAUGAAAUUAUGUGCAAAUAAAUUAAAAUUAUUCGAUGUUAGCUGGAGGGGUAAAUUAAAGUAAUGUUAAUUGUUUCUUGUUCAAGUUUUAACAUGUGAAAUAAAUAGGUUGAUGCCUGUUAUACUUUUUACUAUUGUCAUCCUAGAAUAUUACUAAUUCAAAAUGACUUAAUUUCUGUAAGAUAAUCUCGAGGCAUGACGUUUGUUGUAGAUAGUGCUUGGAAGUUUUCCUCCUAUGUACCUUUUGUGAGAUCCUUUUCAAUCAUCUAUUCUGUCUCAACUGUACUUAUCACAAGAAAGCCGUACUUAUCACAAGAAAGAAAGAGUGUUUUUUGUUAAAUUAGGUCUUAGGUCUAACUCACACCCCAAAAGCUAGCUCAAAGGGAGGAGGAUUGCCCAAGCCUUAUAACCCAUCUCAUUAACCACCGAUGUGGGAGUUUUGUCAUUCUUUAACACUUUUCUAUUUUAUACUAAAUCCCCCAAAAAAACUAGUGUGCAGCGUAGUGCUGAUCAAAGCUAGGAUGAUGGAUGAAGAUAAUGGCUCAGACAUUGAAGCUCAGCGCUGUUAAUGAAUGGUGAAUUAGGUAAAUCUAGUUUGAUCAUGAGGAAGUCGGUGCUCAUUAUCAAAUCUACUUACAAGUUCAUUGAAGCUGGAGCAAGAAUACCAUCUCUUUCUCGAGUCUCAUCCUCCACCACAACCUUUUAUACUCCUCUUCCCAGCUUUAAUCUUAAACAUCAAGUAAGUAUAUAAACAUAUGUCUUUAUCGCUACUAUAUAUACACACGUAGUUAUUAAGCAUAUAUGCUCUCUCUCUCUCUGUAAUUAGGAUGCAGAAGGUGGUGAAGAUGAAAUCCAGGUUGUUGAAAUUGUGGCUGAUGAUAAUACUGUACAAUCAAACAAUGAUCACGUCGACAUUGAUCAAAGUACUCAUCAGCAAUGCCUACAAAUUAGUGAAGAGAUUGUGAAGGAGAAGAAGUUGGAUUGGAGUGAUAUUCAUGAUGUUGACAAGGGAAUUCAUGUUGGAGAUAAUUCUGGUCGUCACAUGCUGAUCUUCACAGGGUACAUCAUCCGACAAUUGGUAUGCAAGGAACCAACUAUUUUUCUCCUUGCAAUUGCUGCAAUGUUGUCGUUUGUCUUUGGAAUCAAAGAAGAAGGUGUGCAGAAUGGUUGGUUUGAAGGAGCACUUCUGGUUGUGAUUGUUUUGUUUAAGUUUGCACGAAAUUGGUACAAGAGACACCUUUGGAAGAAGCAUAAAGAUUACAAAGAAAGGAAGAAUUACCCCCUGUUCAUUUCUGAAACGGACUCCAGCUUUUGUGCCUGUUUUGACAAGUUGAACAAUUAUAUACAUAUUAGGGGGUUGUUGAUUGGCAUUUUGAUCACUGUGGUGCUGUUCAUUCGCUUUAAAUUGGGCCAUAAAGAUGACGAAAAUGGAUAUAGAUUAGAAACCAAGGAAGAACCAGCUGAAAUUGCACAGAUAAUGAAUGCCGUGAAAAAGGUUUUAACAGAAUCAAAGGGAACAGUAAGAGUUCUGAUAACUUUACUUGGUGUCACACUGGUAGGGGUACCAUUUCUUAUUUCAAUUACAAUGGCAUAUUGGUAUCCGAAUUUUGAUGUUAAAAUGGAAUCAGUCAACACCCUAUGUAUAGAAAAUGUUGGCUGGUUGAAAGAGCAAAAACUGGAAGUUAGUCAGUUUAUGCUUGACAAAAAAUAUGUUACCAAGAGCAGUUGAAGAAAAGAGGAGAAGUGGUGGCCGUGGUAGGAGAGCAAACAUUUGAAAGUAAUGUGGUUCUUGAAGCAGCUCAUUUUGGCCUGCAUGUGGUGACUAACUGGCCUGAAACUAUAAUUUAUGUGAUUUACAGCAUCAAGGGAGGAAGAAUUGUUUGUGAGAAUAUGAGACAAUUUAUCCAAGUUGAGGUAAUCUUGGCAAUAAGUAGCUUAUCAAUAAACUUCAUAGUGGUUAUAGUAGACGGAGAUGCCCCGUUAACAUUCAUUCAGUUGGUAUGGGUUAACCUUCUUGUUACAUUUAUUGGAGGGCCAGCUUUGCUAAUUACUCAACAGGCCACAAGACAACUAAGCGAUGAGCUAUCUAUCAGACCAAGAAAACUGCCAAUUACCAAGGGCAUGUUGAGAAACAUACUUCUUCAAGUUUCUUAUCAGACUGGAAUUUUUGUAUUCCUUCAACACAGAGGAAGUGCAGUACUGGGGAUCACUCCAAAAGUUAACAGAUCUAUAGUCUUUAACGGUUUCGCUCUGUGCCAGUUUUUUAACAUAUUCAGUGCAAGGGAUUUGGAGCAGAGGAAUUAUUUCAAACAUCUUGUUAAAAAUUACUUGUUUUGGGCAUUGUCUGGGCUCUAUCUUGUGUUGCAGUUUGGAUUCAUUGAAGUAGAGGUUGUUUUUGUCUUUAGCAACACGGCACGACUGAAUUGGAAGCAAUGGGUUGAAUCCAUUUUAAUUGGAGUUGUUACAUGGUUGCUUGAUGUGAUAGUAAAAUGGGCAUCACAAUACAUAAAGAUGGACAAGUAUUGCGACUGUGGAGUUCUUCACCUGGCUAGAAACUGGGUACAGGAUUGGUUUUCCAGAGUCAAUUGCUGUGACAGUGGACCAAGAAGUACACCAAAUCCAACUCUUGCUUCUUUGGAUUCUCCAAGAUCCUCUAGUGGAAAGGUACUAUACAGAUUUAUCCAUACUGCCUAAUUAUAGAAAAUUCAAAGUCUUUCCUCUUUAUUCCUAAAACAAUUUGGAUUCAAGUUGUAGUUAUUCUUUUGCAGGGCUGGAUAACAAAUAUAACACGUCGUGUUAAACCAACCAAUGAUAGAACUAAUACUUUGAUGGAUUAAUCAUAUGUUGCAGUAGCUUCAAUUUUUAGUAUAUAUUUUCCACUGUUUUUAUAGGGGUUAGAUACACCUGGAGCAAUAGUAAAGUUGUCUUCAUGUGACGUAUAGGUUACGGGUUUGAACCAUGCUGGAAUCAGCUCAUGAUGCUUGCAUCAAAGUUGGCGGCGUCGGCCCUUCCCGGACCUAGUCAAUGCGGGUUGAUUAGAGCACUAGGUUACCCUUUUUAGUCUGUAGGGGCAAGUUAAUUUAUGUUAAUUCAUUUCCUCAAGUUUUUGGUUUCUCAUAUGUGUUGGAUGGAAAUAAAAAAACGUUAGUUCUUGUUCUCUCGUUCUUCUUCUUUUCACUUUUAACUAAAUUCAAGAAUGCAACCUUAUUAUAUAGUACUAAUAUAUACAAAAAGCAAGAAUUUUAUGAAUUUCAAACACAUGGAAAUUUGCUCAAAAUCAUAAAGAAAGCUAGUCAGUAUUCAUUCUACCCAUUGGCUCGUACAAGAAGAUAAAUACUCCCUCCGUUCCUUUUUAUAUGUUAUCUUUUUCUAUAAAUAGUUGGUUCAUAAUACUUGUCAUGUCAUAAAAUUAAUGCAUAAAUUACCAUAUUAUUCCUUUUUUACUCUUGUGAGUUAUUAGCCUUGAAAAUAUACAUUUGACCAACUUAGAAAAGCUAAGUAAUUGAUUCAUGUUCAUUGGUUAAAUUAAUCAAUCAAAAUAAAUUAAUUCAUAUUCAUUGAUUGAAAACUUGAGUUGCAAAAAAAUUAAAUAAGGGUAGAAGGGUAAAACUACAUCAUUUGUUAAUGCAAGUGCAAAGUAAAAAUGUGACAUAUAAAAAAGGAACGGAGGGAGUAUCAUAUAAUAUGCAAAAAUAUAACUUAAUUACCUGUAUUUUUUCUCAAACUUGGUGUAAUUUAUUAGACAAAGCUCUUGUUGAGGAGAAAUUGACAAGCCAGCAAUGCCUCUUUGUUUGUUGUAUUUUCAUCCGCUCAACUUAGUAGAAAAUGCACGAUCGCUCAAAAAAAUAUUUCACAGAAAUAAUUAUUACAAAUAAUUAACAUCUAGAAGGUUGUAGCAACAAAUAUAC